RNAcentral lists this long non-coding RNA (518 nucleotides) under Mytilus galloprovincialis (Mediterranean mussel). Lineage: Eukaryota; Metazoa; Mollusca; Bivalvia; Mytilida; Mytilidae. The record is from RNAcentral.
CUGGUUCGAAAUAAACUGUUAAUUUGAAAAUUGCACAGUGAAGUUUAAUGUGUCAAUUUAUGCAGAUAAUAGUUGCCAUAUUUCGUUGCAAUUGCAGAUCAGAACGUGAUAUAUAGCCCAAUGUUGAUAAUGGCAGUUCCGUGUAAAUGUUUUAAUGCAAUAAUGGUUCUUAUCAUGAAUUCUUUAUUAAAACUAAUCCUGUUAUGACACAAAAUGGAAAAUAUAUGUAAAUGCAUUUGCUGUAAUUAUUCAUUAACUGUUAUUGUGCAACACAUAAUUAACUUGUGAAGAGCAUAUAUAUAUAUAUAUCUUCUUGAUUUCCAAUACUGGUAGCUAUAGGUUCCAUGGGCUUCUUUCUCCCAUUGAAUAUAUCUGAAAACAUUUCACUUGAGUUACUUUUUAUCUCUUGCACAAUUAAAUGUGCAGCUUUACAAAUUAUGCAUUAAUUUUAUUAAUUUAUUUAUUGUCUUUCUGUAAGUAGUCAUUAAUAUUCAUCUGUAUUGUGUCUGUCUGGUCCA